RNAcentral lists this ribosomal RNA (406 nucleotides) under uncultured bacterium. RNAcentral's name for it is "partial 16S ribosomal RNA". It matches the Rfam family "Bacterial small subunit ribosomal RNA", at positions 30 to 526 of the family's 1533-position model. The record is from RNAcentral.
AUUGAACGCUGGCGGCAGGCCUAACACAUGAAAGUCGAACGAGUGGCGGACGGGUGAGUAAUGUCUGGGAAACUGCCCGAUGGAGGGGGAUAACUACUGGAAACGGUAGCUCAUACCGCAUACCAUCGGAUGUUCCCAGAUGGGAUUAGCUAGUAGGUGGGGUAACGGCUCACCAAGGCGACGAUCCCUAGCUGGUAUGAGAGGAUGACCGGCCACACUGGAACGGAGCCACGGUCCAGACUCCUACGGGAGGCAGCAGUGGGGAAUAUUGCACAAUGGGCGCAAGCCUGAUGCAGCCAUGCCGCGUGUAUGAAGAAGGCCUUCGGGUUGUAAAGUACUUUCAGCGGGGAGGCGUUACCCGCAGAAGAAGCACCGGCUAACUCCGUGCCAGCAGCCGCGGUAAUAC